CGAUCUUCCGAUCUCUCCGGGCGAAACGAUCGACCGUGUACGACCCUUGCGCCACAGCUCUCGACGACCGGCGCGGCCGACGAGAUUCGGCGUUGGCCUUCUCCCGGUUCACUCGCCGUUACUUAGGGAAUCCCGGUUGGUUUCUUUUCCUCCGCUUAGCGAUAUGCUUAAGUUCGGCGGGUAAUCGCGUCCGAGUCGAGGGUAGC
This 206-nucleotide long non-coding RNA is filed under the name Octopus sinensis (East Asian common octopus). Its description in RNAcentral is "uncharacterized LOC118766867, transcript variant X1". The record is from RNAcentral. Lineage: Eukaryota; Metazoa; Mollusca; Cephalopoda; Octopoda; Octopodidae.